Syngnathoides biaculeatus (alligator pipefish) is the source of this 115-nucleotide small nuclear RNA. RefSeq annotates it as U5 spliceosomal RNA. Lineage: Eukaryota; Metazoa; Chordata; Actinopteri; Syngnathiformes; Syngnathidae. The record is from RefSeq and is a predicted model, not a curated record. The transcript has a single exon.
AAACUUUUGUUUCCCUUUUAAUUGCAUAAAUCUUUUGCCUUUUACUAAAGAUUUCCUUAGGGGGGAACAGCAAGAGUCUAUCUCAAAUUUUUUUAUGCUUUGCGUAUGCGGAGCC